CAUCUGCAGAGAGUGAUAGCUUUGCCUCUUCCUGGCCUAGUCUAAUUCCUUCCAUUUUUUUCUUCUCUUAUUGCUAAAGCUAACGUUUCGAGUACAAUAUUGAACAACAGUGGUGAUAAUGGACAUCCUUGUUUCUCCCUUGAUCUUAUGGGAAGUAAGAUCAUAUUCUGUUCUUUCCUUUGAUUUCUCAUGGCCAAGAAAUAGGGCUCUGCCUCCCUGCCACAGUUCUUUGUGAUGUAAUAUAUCUUGGUUGGUUUUGAAGUUCUCCAUUUUUACCUCCGUAUUUCUGGGAUCAGACUGAGGAGGCUGGGGGAUGGGAUUGGGGUGGAGAGGUUCAGAGUCAUGGCCUGAAGGAAGAAUUGGAAGCACAAUUAGGGUUAGCGUUGGGGGUGGGGGAGGACUCAGUGAGUCACACUGAAAGCCAGAGCUCAGGUCAAAGACUCCUCUUUAACUGUAAUUGUGAGUGGGGUCAGUUUCCUCCAGAGGGUUGGACUGGAUGGAUUGCUAAAGUCUCUUCCAGCUCUGAUCUCCUAGGAUCCUAAGACAAGGAAGGGCAAGAGGAAUGUGCAUUAGAAGCUGUUGCAGGACUGCGCGUGCGCUGACAGGAGAGGAAGGAGGGAGGGAGGAGCAAGCCACAGGCUGGAGGAGGAGGAGGAGGAGGAGGAGGAGGAGGAGGAGGAGGAGGAUGGCAGCAGCUUUGCAGCCACUGCUGGUCACCUUGGUUUGGGCUGGUGUCCUGCUCCUCCCAACAGCGACCCAUGGCGCCGCCCUCGCUCAGCCCCGGACCCUGCCUUUCUCUUGGAACCUUGGGCAAAUGGCAAGGGCCCUGCAGUUGGACUGGCCACCUGGUUCCCCCAAGGCAGCCCUGCUGGCCCAGGCCCUAGAGCGGCUCCUCGAGGCAGAGGCCGGGUGGCAGGAGUGGGAACGGGAGACCAAGGCUGAAGCUGCUGCCCUGGCCCAGCUCCUCUUGCGCCUGUGGCGGGGCUCCCAUCUUGAGCCUGAGGUCAGCAUGGAAGAGGCAGUGUCACUUGGUCCCCAGACCCAAGCCAACGAUGAGGCAGCAGAUUCCAAGCAGGCACUACUCAGAUUUCUGAUGAGCCGGCUGUUGGCCAAGAUGUCGGAGACCCGAAUCCCUCCCACCUUGGUCUGGGCGGGACCGUGGCCCCGGCAACGUCGUCAUUUGCGCCGGCCCCUGGGCCUGGCUCCUGCUUCCAUGUCACAUGGGACCGCACUACUCGGCCUGAACCAUCUGGAGGCCUUGGCAGUGCAGCAGGGGGUACCGCUUGCUAGCACACGCUACUGGCCAGAGUGA
This 1312-nucleotide long non-coding RNA is filed under the name Phascolarctos cinereus (koala). RNAcentral describes it as "lncRNA (ENSPCIG00000036696.1)". Lineage: Eukaryota; Metazoa; Chordata; Mammalia; Diprotodontia; Phascolarctidae. The record is from RNAcentral.